CAGGCCUAACACAUGCAAGUCGAGCGCGCCUUCGGGUGAGCGGCGGACGGGUUAGUAACGCGUGGGAACGUGCCCUUCUCUACGGAAUAGCCUCUGGAAACGGAGAGUAAUACCGUAUACGCCCUUUGGGGGAAAGAUUUAUCGGAGAAGGAUCGGCCCGCGUUAGAUUAGGUAGUUGGUGGAGUAACGGCCUACCAAGCCUACGAUCUAUAGCUGGUUUUAGAGGAUGAUCAGCAACACUGGGACUGAGACACGGCCCAGACUCCUACGGGAGGCGGCAGUGGGGAAUCUUAGACAAUGGGGGCAACCCUGAUCUAGCCAUGCCGCGUGAGUGAUGAAGGCCUUAGGGUCGUAAAGCUCUUUCGCCUGUGAUGAUAAUGACAGUAGCAGGUAAAGAAACCCCGGCUAACUCCGUGCCAGCAGCCGCGGUAAUACGGAGGGGGUUAGCGUUGUUCGGAAUUACUGGGCGUAAAGCGCGCGUAGGCGGAUUAGAAAGUUGGGGGUGAAAUCCCGGGGCUCAACCUCGGAACUGCCUCCAAAACUGCUAGUCUAGAGUUCGAGAGAGGUGAGUGGAAUUCCGAGUGUAGAGGUGAAAUUCGUAGAUAUUCGGAGGAACACCAGUGGCGAAGGCGGCUCACUGGCUCGAUAC
Molecule: ribosomal RNA, 649 nt
Filed under: uncultured bacterium
Lineage: Bacteria
Description: bacterial SSU rRNA
Rfam family: Bacterial small subunit ribosomal RNA
Source: RNAcentral